Molecule: ribosomal RNA, 39 nt
Filed under: Eucalyptus kondininensis
Lineage: Eukaryota; Viridiplantae; Streptophyta; Magnoliopsida; Myrtales; Myrtaceae
Description: partial 18S ribosomal RNA
Source: RNAcentral
ACCAAGGUUUCCGUAGCGAAACCUGCGGAAGGAUCAUUG